GCCCGUGUGGCUCAUUAGGAUGAGCGCCGCUUUCGUAAAGCGGAAACAGCCGGUUCGAAUCCGGCCAUGGGCU
The sequence is a transfer RNA, 73 nucleotides long. It matches the Rfam family "tRNA". From Rfam's summary of the family: Transfer RNA (tRNA) molecules are approximately 80 nucleotides in length. Their secondary structure includes four short double-helical elements and three loops (D, anti-codon, and T loops). Further hydrogen bonds mediate the characteristic L-shaped molecular structure. tRNAs have two regions of fundamental functional importance: the anti-codon, which is responsible for specific mRNA codon recognition, and the 3' end, to which the tRNAs corresponding amino acid is attached (by aminoacyl-tRNA synthetases). tRNAs cope with the degeneracy of the genetic code in two manners: having more than one tRNA (with a specific anti-codon) for a particular amino acid; and 'wobble' base-pairing, i.e. permitting non-standard base-pairing at the 3rd anti-codon position.